UUUUUUUUUUUUUUUUCUUUUGGGUGUUGGCUUUUAACUCUUUCAAAGCCGAUUUUGAAAUCGGCUGCAGUGUUAGAGAUGCGAAGUGCUUCUGGUGUCUCAAAAAUUACGGAGACAAGUUUACUGUGUCGUCAAGGCUGUUAAAUGGAAAUAGAUUUUAAUUAUGGUGCUAAGACGAUGACGUUUAACGUAGUUUAUUUUACUGAGUAUUUACGGCAAAAUUAUUUGACAUUCUGGUGUUUGAAUAAUGAUUAAAUGCACUGUUUGGUACUUUUUAAAAGGUCAUAGGAGCCGUUAUCUGUAACUUAUCACCUGAAUGUUAGAACGUACUUGGGUCAGUUCCUAGACUUUUAAAAGUUUAAAUACAUUUUAUUAUUAAAAAAAUGUAUAUUAUCACAAGCCAUGGCCGACAAAACUUUUACAAAAGGAUAUUUUGACAACAAAUUUCUUUGUGAAGUUACUUUCUCCUAGUGUAAAUAUUAAAGUAGGACUGCUCGGUAAUGGGCGAUGAAGAGGAGCCAUAUUUGUUGCAUUUGUUGCAUGCAUAAAAAUCUAGAUAUGCUUAAAACGGAACAGUAUUUUAAUGUUGUAUUUUGGUUUUUAAAAAUUUUACAGAGUGCUCUAUGUAAUCUAUUAAUCUAAAAAAUUGAGAGGGAAUUUAAAUUUAGUGUUUGAACACAGGCCACAAAUGCAUAAACCUUUGUGUAUUUUAGAAUAUAUUUGUCUUUAUUCUGCGGUAGCUCUUGUUUUGUAGAGGUGCAGAUCUACGUAAAAAUUGUGUUGGGCAGAUUUUCGUAGUAUUUAUAAAAUUGAAGCUACUGGUGUAAUGGACUAGGUUUCUGAGGGUAUUUUUGUCAGUGAAAUUGUUUUAUUUUCGAAUAGCAUUCAUAUAGUGUUACAUGUUAAAUCAGUUGCGCAUAUCUUGAUUUUACAGGCUCUGUUGUUUUAAGUAAUAAUUUGUGGUUUUGCAAGUCAACAUUUUUGAAAUUUUUAAAUGCUUCAAGUAGUUUUAAAUUAAUAUUCUGAAUCUAGUUUUUCAGAAUCCUCUUGAAUAGCAAAAUGCAAAAUAAUUACUGGCAGUUUAACCUCAUAAAUUUUUUUUUACGUGAGAAAAGGGGGAAGGGAGAGACUGAAUGUGGUCUAGACCCUAGUUUGAAAUUGAAUAAAGGUCAUAGAUACUACAUGUUUUAGAUUUGCGUUAAAGACAAAGCUAAUAUCUCACUUGGUGAGAUCAAAUAACUGUGGUUUAAAAAUUUAAAGUAACCAGUGGCCAUUUUAACUUCACUAAAUUCUCCUGGAGGAGUUAAUUUUUAAUCACUCAUAAUUGUAAAAUGUAUUUCUAGAUGGUAAAGGAAAUUUUAGGAUGAUUAAGAUGAUUUCAGUCUUUAAAAAUGGUAAACUUUUCCUUUGUUUUUGAGCAUUGCUUGUCAUCAAAAGAAAAAUAAAAAUGAAAACAAGGUCAUAAUCUUAAAUCUGUCCAAAGAUAGGAAUUUUUUUCUCUUUUUAAUCUUAGUACCUUAAUCUCUAGUGAUUGUCCAUGCAACCAAAAGAUGGGGAAAACAGAGACUGAUAGAUACAAAGAUAAGAAAUAACUGCUAUCUUAAAUGUACAGGUAGUGUGUUAAUGAGCUAUCUCUUGAAUUUGUCCAUUGAUCGUGUCUCAGAAAUAUUUUCUCAUUGUUUCAUCACACUGAAACUUUGGCCAAGAAAUGUUUAAAAUUCAAAGCAUUGAUAUCAAUUUCCCCCCCCUUUUUUUUUAAAAGGCAACUUACAAGAUUAAAAUUAAAUUUGGUUGAUGAUGGUUCUGGACAAAUACAGCUCUUUUAUUUGAGGUAUGCCAUUUUGAAGACAGACCCGUGGAAUUUUAUCCUUGAGGAUAGGGGAAAUCUUUGUGAAAGUCUGUAUUUUAUAAAGCAACAAUAUGAAUCCUGAGGCUGAAUUGUCUAAGGGGCCUGUACAGCGAAAUAGAUGUAAGUUUUACUCAAUUUACAUGUUUAAUUUGUUUUUUACUUUUACAUGUGACUUUGGAAAUUCUGAGUAAUUGAGUCAGAGUCUCUAAAAAUGUAGAAGAAUUUAGUGAAGUUCCAAGCAGUACAGAUAUAAAUCAACAUAGAUGUAUGUGGCUUAUUAUUAAAAUUUUGGUUAUUAUUCCAACCUCUUUUCCUUUCUUUACUUAAAGAGAGGUAUAAAUGGAUGGAAGGAAACUCACAUUUGAACAUUCUUCUAAUACUGCACCCUAGCUGUUGGUAAGCUCCCCAUUUUUAUAAAUAAAGUUUUAUUGGAACACAGCUAAGCUCUUUCAUUUACGUAUUAGCUGUGUCUGCUUUCUGACUACAGCUGCAGAGAGUAGAUUUAGCUAAUGGCCACAAACCCUAACAUAUUUAGUUAUUUAGUAUUUUAACCUGUAAGGAAAUCUUGCCUAUCCUUUCCCUAGAUUCAUCCUUUUUGUCAACUUUAUGUAGAACUCAAAAGCACUUGGAUUCUCUUAAUAAUGGGGGUGUACCUUUUACUUUGUUAGUAUUUCAUUGUUAGAAUUCAAAUAACAUAAGUAAUCAUGAGCUUGGCUUAAACUCCAAAGCCCAACAAAGGUUCUUUCACACCAGCAUUAUGCUUUAAUAUUAGAAGAUUUGGGGAGUUCCCGGUGUGGCACAGUGGAAAUGAAUCAACUAGUAUAGUAUCCAUGAGGAUUUGGGUUCUAUCCCCGGCCUCACUCAGUGGAUUAAGGAUUUGGAGUUGCUGUGAGCUGUGGUGUAGGCCAGCAGCUGCAGCUCUGAUUCGACCCCUAGUCUAGGAACUUCCUUAUGACACAGGUAUGGCCCCAAAAAG
Molecule: long non-coding RNA, 2825 nt
Filed under: Sus scrofa (pig)
Lineage: Eukaryota; Metazoa; Chordata; Mammalia; Artiodactyla; Suidae
Description: lncRNA (ENSSSCG00040070029.1)
Source: RNAcentral